This is a long non-coding RNA of Priapulus caudatus, 97 nucleotides long. RefSeq lists it as uncharacterized. The transcript has 3 exons. NCBI's taxonomy places the organism in Eukaryota, Metazoa, Priapulida, Priapulimorpha, Priapulimorphida, Priapulidae. The record is from RefSeq and is a predicted model, not a curated record.
GUUCUGUUUACUGUAGGUCCUGUUCCAGUUGGCCCAUUUACUGUAGGUCCUGUAUCCAGUUGGGUCCAGUUCCAGUUGCGUCCAGUUAACUGUAGGU